CACGACAUGCGAUACUUGGUGUGAAUUGCAGAAUCUCGUGAACCAUUGAGUCUUUGAACGCAAGAUGUGCCCGAGGCCUUGUGGCCGAGGGCACGCCUGUUUGGGUGUCAUGGCAUCGUCGCCUCUGCUCCAUGCCCUGUUAGUCGGCUGGUGGCGAGCGCGGAAAUUGGCCCCGUGUGCCCUCGGGCACAGUCGGCCGAAGAGCGGGUAGUCGGCAGUCGUCGGGCACGAUGGGUGUUGGUCGCCGUGAGCGGGAACAGAACGUCGUCCCCUUCGUUUUCGGACGAGCCCUCAAGAGACCCUGCGUGAUUGCGGCACCGGGCGAAAGAAAAAAAGCGCCGUGUCCAUCAACUAGUGGCCCCAAGUCAGGCGAGGCCACCCGCCGAAUUUAAGCAUAUAAAUAAGCGGAGGAGGAGAAACUUACGAGGAUUCCCCUAGUAACGGCGAGUGAACCGGGAUCAGCCCAGC
RNAcentral lists this ribosomal RNA (468 nucleotides) under Zingiber spectabile. RNAcentral describes it as "eukaryotic LSU rRNA". The stretch from base 356 to 468 matches the Rfam family "Eukaryotic large subunit ribosomal RNA", at positions 1 to 113 of the family's 3401-position model. The record is from RNAcentral. Lineage: Eukaryota; Viridiplantae; Streptophyta; Magnoliopsida; Zingiberales; Zingiberaceae.